RNAcentral lists this ribosomal RNA (247 nucleotides) under uncultured bacterium. Its description in RNAcentral is "partial 16S ribosomal RNA". It matches the Rfam family "Bacterial small subunit ribosomal RNA", at positions 523 to 769 of the family's 1533-position model. The record is from RNAcentral.
AUACGUAGGUGGCAAGCGUUGUCCGGAUUUACUGGGUGUAAAGGGCGCGUAGGCGGGAAUACAAGUCAGAUGUGAAAUCUGUGGGCUUAGCCCACAAACUGCAUUUGAAACUGUAUUUCUUGAGUAUCGGAGAGGCAGGCGGAAUUCCAAGUGUAGCGGUGAAAUGCGUAGAUAUUUGGAGGAACACCAGUGGCGAAGGCGGCCUGCUGGACGACAACUGACGCUGAGGCGCGAAAGCGUGGGGAGC